This 501-nucleotide ribosomal RNA is filed under the name uncultured bacterium. Its description in RNAcentral is "partial 16S ribosomal RNA". It matches the Rfam family "Bacterial small subunit ribosomal RNA", at positions 30 to 523 of the family's 1533-position model. The record is from RNAcentral.
AUUGAACGCUGGCGGCAGGCUUAACACAUGCAAGUCGAGCGGGGGAAGGUAGCUUGCUACUGGACCUAGCGGCGGACGGGUGAGUAAUGCUUAGGAAUCUGCCUAUUAGUGGGGGACAACAUCUCGAAAGGGAUGCUAAUACCGCAUACGUCCUACGGGAGAAAGCAGGGGAGCUGCGGACCUUGCGCUAAUAGAUGAGCUCAAGUCGGAUUAGAUAGUUGGUGGGGUAAAGGCCUACCGAGGCGACGAGCUGUAGCGGGUCUGAGAGGAUGAUCCGCCACACUGGGACUGAGACACGGCCCAGACUCCUACGGGAGGCAGCAGUGGGGAAUAUUGGACAAUGGGGGGAACCCUGAUCCAGCCAUGCCGCGUGUGUGAAGGAGGCCUUAUGGUUGUAAAGCACUUUAAGCGAGGAGGAGGCUACUCUAGUUAAUACCUAGGGAUAGUGGACGUUACUCGCAGAAUAAGCACCGGCUAACUCUGUGCCAGCCGCCGCCGUAA